RNAcentral lists this ribosomal RNA (450 nucleotides) under uncultured bacterium. RNAcentral's name for it is "partial 16S ribosomal RNA". It matches the Rfam family "Bacterial small subunit ribosomal RNA", at positions 338 to 795 of the family's 1533-position model. The record is from RNAcentral.
CCUACGGGUGGCAGCAGUGGGGAAUCUUGGACAAUGGGGGCAACCCUGAUCCAGCGAUGCCGCGUGGGUGAAGAAGGCCUUCGGGUUGUAAAGCCCUUUAGGCUGGGAAGAAGAAUAUGGGAUGAAUAAUCCUGUAUUUUGACGGUACCAGCAGAAUAAGCACCGGCAAACUCUGUGCCAGCAGCCGCGGUAAUACAGAGGGUGCAAGCGUUAAGCGGAUUUAGUGGGCGUAAAGGGCGCGUAGGCGGUUGAAAGCCCCGGGCUUAACCUGGGAAGUGCAUCGCAAACGACAUAACUGGAGUAGGUGAGAGGGUGGCGGAAUUUCCGGUGUAGCGGUGAAAUGCGUAGAGAUCGGAAGGAACGUCAAUGGCGAAGGCAGCCACCUGGCACCAUACUGACGCUGAGGCGCGAAAGCGUGGGGAGCGAACAGGAUUAGAUACCCCUGUAGUC